Molecule: ribosomal RNA, 891 nt
Filed under: uncultured bacterium
Lineage: Bacteria
Description: bacterial SSU rRNA
Rfam family: Bacterial small subunit ribosomal RNA
Source: RNAcentral
AGAGUUUGAUCAUGGCUCAGGAUGAACGCUGGCGGCGUGCCUAAUCCAUGCAAGUCGAACGGAGACGAUAGCAAUAUUGUCUUAGUGGCGAACGGGUGAGUAACGCGUUGGUGACCUGCCCCGAAGCGGGGGAUAACAGACCGAAAGGUUUGCUAAUACCGCAUAAUUUGUUGAGAGUUAGAGAGCUUGACAAGAAAGCCGAAAGGCACUUUGGGAGGGGCCUGCGUCCCAUCAGCUAGUUGGUAAGGUAACGGCUUACCAAGGCGAUGACGGGUAGGGGACCUGAGAGGGUGGCCCCCCACAAUGGAACUGAAACACGGUCCAUACACCUACGGGUGGCAGCAGGAGGGAAUAUUGGUUAAUGUGCGAAAGCGCGAACCAGCAACGCCGCGUGUACGAUGAAGGCCUUCGGGUUGUAAAGUACUUUUCACCGGGAAGAGGAAGGACGGUACCGGUGGAAUAAGUCUCGGCUAACUACGUGCCAGCAGCCGCGGUAACACGUAGGAGACGAGCGCUAUCCGGAUUUACUGGGUGUAAAGCGCGUGCAGGCGGUUUGUUAAGUUGGAUGUGAAAGCUCCCGGCUAAACUGGGAGAGGUCGUUCAAAACUGGCAGACUAGAGUGUGGUAGAGGGGAGUGGAAUUCCGAGUGUAGCGGUAAAAUGCAUAGAUAUUCGGAAGAACACCAGUGGCGAAGGCGACUUCCUGGACCACAACUGACGCUCAGACGCGAAAGCCAGGGUAGCAAACGGGAUUAGAGACCCCGGUAGUCCUGGCAGUAAACGAUGUGAACUUGGCGUUGGUGGGAUAAAACCUAUCAGUGCCGAAGCAAACGCGAUAAGUUCACCACCUGGGGACUACGGCCGCAAGGUUAAAACUCAAAGGAAUUGACGG